This 514-nucleotide ribosomal RNA is filed under the name uncultured Gammaproteobacteria bacterium. RNAcentral's name for it is "SSU rRNA". It matches the Rfam family "Bacterial small subunit ribosomal RNA", at positions 242 to 748 of the family's 1533-position model. The record is from RNAcentral. Lineage: Bacteria; Pseudomonadati; Pseudomonadota; Gammaproteobacteria.
CAGCUAGUUGGUGGGGUAAUGGCCUACCAAGGCGACAAUCCGUAGCUGGUCUGAGAGGACGACCAGCCACACCGGAACUGAGACACGGUCCGGACUCCUACGGGAGGCAGCAGUGGGGAAUAUUGGACAAUGGGGGAAACCCUGAUCCAGCGACGCCGCGUGUGUGAAGAAGGUCUGCGGGUUGUAAAGCACUUUUAGUGGGGACAAAAAGCUACGGACUAAUACUCUGUGGUCUUGAUUUAACCCAAAGAAAAAGCACCGGCUAACUCUGUGCCAGCAGCCGCGGUAAUACAGAGGGUGCGAGCGUUAAUCGGAAUUACUGGGCGUAAAGCGCGCGUAGACGGUUUUGUAAGUCAGAUGUGAAAUCCCUGGGCUCAACCUGGGAACUGCAUUUGAAACUGCAUGGCUAGAGUAUGGAAGAGGGAAGUGGAAUUUCCGGUGUAGCGGUGAAAUGCGUAGAUAUCGGAAGGAACACCAGUGGCGAAAGCGACUUCCUGGUCCAAUACUGACGUUC